RNAcentral lists this ribosomal RNA (2892 nucleotides) under Escherichia coli. RNAcentral describes it as "bacterial LSU rRNA". It matches the Rfam family "Bacterial large subunit ribosomal RNA". Lineage: Bacteria; Pseudomonadati; Pseudomonadota; Gammaproteobacteria; Enterobacterales; Enterobacteriaceae. The record is from RNAcentral.
ACUAAGCGUACACGGUGGAUGCCCUGGCAGUCAGAGGCGAUGAAGGACGUGCUAAUCUGCGAUAAGCGUCGGUAAGGUGAUAUGAACCGUUAUAACCGGCGAUUUCCGAAUGGGGAAACCCAGUGUGUUUCGACACACUAUCAUUAACUGAAUCCAUAGGUUAAUGAGGCGAACCGGGGGAACUGAAACAUCUAAGUACCCCGAGGAAAAGAAAUCAACCGAGAUUCCCCCAGUAGCGGCGAGCGAACGGGGAGGAGCCCAGAGCCUGAAUCAGUGUGUGUGUUAGUGGAAGCGUCUGGAAAGGCGCGCGAUACAGGGUGACAGCCCCGUACACAAAAAUGCACAUGCUGUGAGCUCGAUGAGUAGGGCGGGACACGUGGUAUCCUGUCUGAAUAUGGGGGGACCAUCCUCCAAGGCUAAAUACUCCUGACUGACCGAUAGUGAACCAGUACCGUGAGGGAAAGGCGAAAAGAACCCCGGCGAGGGGAGUGAAAAAGAACCUGAAACCGUGUACGUACAAGCAGUGGGAGCCUCUUUUAUGGGGUGACUGCGUACCUUUUGUAUAAUGGGUCAGCGACUUAUAUUCUGUAGCAAGGUUAACCGAAUAGGGGAGCCGAAGGGAAACCGAGUCUUAACUGGGCGUUAAGUUGCAGGGUAUAGACCCGAAACCCGGUGAUCUAGCCAUGGGCAGGUUGAAGGUUGGGUAACACUAACUGGAGGACCGAACCGACUAAUGUUGAAAAAUUAGCGGAUGACUUGUGGCUGGGGGUGAAAGGCCAAUCAAACCGGGAGAUAGCUGGUUCUCCCCGAAAGCUAUUUAGGUAGCGCCUCGUGAAUUCAUCUCCGGGGGUAGAGCACUGUUUCGGCAAGGGGGUCAUCCCGACUUACCAACCCGAUGCAAACUGCGAAUACCGGAGAAUGUUAUCACGGGAGACACACGGCGGGUGCUAACGUCCGUCGUGAAGAGGGAAACAACCCAGACCGCCAGCUAAGGUCCCAAAGUCAUGGUUAAGUGGGAAACGAUGUGGGAAGGCCCAGACAGCCAGGAUGUUGGCUUAGAAGCAGCCAUCAUUUAAAGAAAGCGUAAUAGCUCACUGGUCGAGUCGGCCUGCGCGGAAGAUGUAACGGGGCUAAACCAUGCACCGAAGCUGCGGCAGCGACACUGUGUGUUGUUGGGUAGGGGAGUGUUCUGUAAGCCUGUGAAGGUGUACUGUGAGGUAUGCUGGAGGUAUCAGAAGUGCGAAUGCUGACAUAAGUAACGAUAAAGCGGGUGAAAAGCCCGCUCGCCGGAAGACCAAGGGUUCCUGUCCAACGUUAAUCGGGGCAGGGUGAGUCGACCCCUAAGGCGAGGCCGAAAGGCGUAGUCGAUGGGAAACAGGUUAAUAUUCCUGUACUUGGUGUUACUGCGAAGGGGGGACGGAGAAGGCUAUGUUGGCCGGGCGACGGUUGUCCCGGUUUAAGCGUGUAGGCUGGUUUUCCAGGCAAAUCCGGAAAAUCAAGGCUGAGGCGUGAUGACGAGGCACUACGGUGCUGAAGCAACAAAUGCCCUGCUUCCAGGAAAAGCCUCUAAGCAUCAGGUAACAUCAAAUCGUACCCCAAACCGACACAGGUGGUCAGGUAGAGAAUACCAAGGCGCUUGAGAGAACUCGGGUGAAGGAACUAGGCAAAAUGGUGCCGUAACUUCGGGAGAAGGCACGCUGAUAUGUAGGUGAAGCGACUUGCUCGUGGAGCUGAAAUCAGUCGAAGAUACCAGCUGGCUGCAACUGUUUAUUAAAAACACAGCACUGUGCAAACACGAAAGUGGACGUAUACGGUGUGACGCCUGCCCGGUGCCGGAAGGUUAAUUGAUGGGGUCAGCGCAAGCGAAGCUCUUGAUCGAAGCCCCGGUAAACGGCGGCCGUAACUAUAACGGUCCUAAGGUAGCGAAAUUCCUUGUCGGGUAAGUUCCGACCUGCACGAAUGGCGUAAUGAUGGCCAGGCUGUCUCCACCCGAGACUCAGUGAAAUUGAACUCGCUGUGAAGAUGCAGUGUACCCGCGGCAAGACGGAAAGACCCCGUGAACCUUUACUAUAGCUUGACACUGAACAUUGAGCCUUGAUGUGUAGGAUAGGUGGGAGGCUUAGAAGUGUGGACGCCAGUCUGCAUGGAGCCGACCUUGAAAUACCACCCUUUAAUGUUUGAUGUUCUAACGUUGACCCGUGAUCCGGGUUGCGGACAGUGUCUGGUGGGUAGUUUGACUGGGGCGGUCUCCUCCUAAAGAGUAACGGAGGAGCACGAAGGUUGGCUAAUCCUGGUCGGACAUCAGGAGGUUAGUGCAAUGGCAUAAGCCAGCUUGACUGCGAGCGUGACGGCGCGAGCAGGUGCGAAAGCAGGUCAUAGUGAUCCGGUGGUUCUGAAUGGAAGGGCCAUCGCUCAACGGAUAAAAGGUACUCCGGGGAUAACAGGCUGAUACCGCCCAAGAGUUCAUAUCGACGGCGGUGUUUGGCACCUCGAUGUCGGCUCAUCACAUCCUGGGGCUGAAGUAGGUCCCAAGGGUAUGGCUGUUCGCCAUUUAAAGUGGUACGCGAGCUGGGUUUAGAACGUCGUGAGACAGUUCGGUCCCUAUCUGCCGUGGGCGCUGGAGAACUGAGGGGGGCUGCUCCUAGUACGAGAGGACCGGAGUGGACGCAUCACUGGUGUUCGGGUUGUCAUGCCAAUGGCACUGCCCGGUAGCUAAAUGCGGAAGAGAUAAGUGCUGAAAGCAUCUAAGUACGAAACUUGCCCCGAGAUGAGUUCUCCCUGACCCUUUAAGGGUCCUGAAGGAACGUUGAAGACGACGACGUUGAUAGGCCGGGUGUGUAAGCGCAGCGAUGCGUUGAGCUAACCGGUACUAAUGAACCGUGAGGCUUAACC